Lontra canadensis (Northern American river otter) is the source of this 362-nucleotide long non-coding RNA. RefSeq lists it as uncharacterized. NCBI's taxonomy places the organism in Eukaryota, Metazoa, Chordata, Mammalia, Carnivora, Mustelidae. The transcript has 3 exons. The record is from RefSeq and is a predicted model, not a curated record.
GCCAUAUGCCACAGGACCCUCUCUCAUGAUGCUGGGCAGUUAGAGGGCCCGCUCUCAAUCAGCCACAUGAUCAUGAGGAUAAACAACCAAUACACUAACAACCAUUCUGUACCCAGAUAAAUUUUGAAUAAGGAAGAGAGCACAGGAAAAUGCAGGGAGAACUGGUUCAGCAGCUCCACGAAGGUAUUUGGAUUUCCAAAGACCAGACCCCAUGAAGUGGCUUUCCAGGUGGGAACUUGACAGAGCAGAGGCAGAUUAGUGGCAUUUCUGGGUCUGAGAGGAAAAGGAACGAAGUGCACCUGCAGCACAAAGACGGACCUCGGUCCCUCUUCAGACAGCUUCCGGCCACUUGAGUCACUGAA